Molecule: long non-coding RNA, 232 nt
Filed under: Phoenix dactylifera (date palm)
Lineage: Eukaryota; Viridiplantae; Streptophyta; Magnoliopsida; Arecales; Arecaceae
Description: long non-coding RNA (PDAC_LNC023015)
Source: RNAcentral
ACCAGAUCCUUCAUCCAGGAAGCCAUCCAAUGGUCCAGAUGAAGGCGCCAACCAGUGGACCAGAUCCUUCAUCCAGGAAGCGAUCCAAUGGUCCAGAAGUGAAGGCCCUAUCAAAUCCAAUCCAAUUGGGUUUAACCAACUUAAAGAAAAUAUUAAACCUAAUCAAAUCAGGUCUAAUUAAAGCCAAAUGGGUUUCAACUCUUGGCUAACCCAUAUUAGGUCAUGAUCUAAU